This is a long non-coding RNA of Eucalyptus grandis, 817 nucleotides long. RefSeq lists it as uncharacterized. Lineage: Eukaryota; Viridiplantae; Streptophyta; Magnoliopsida; Myrtales; Myrtaceae. The transcript is spliced from 3 exons. The record is from RefSeq and is a predicted model, not a curated record.
GUAGUCGCAAGGAUCAUUGCUCUAGCACUUGAUCUGGAGGCUGAUUUUUUUUACAAGCCAGAAAUACUCGGCAAGCCUAUUCUGAUCUUGCGCUUGUUGCACUAUGAAGGUCUAAUCUAUGAUCCUUCUAAAGGAAUAUAUGGAGCCGGGGCACAUUCCGACUUUGGGUUUAUUACCCUGUUGGCAACAGAUGAUGUCCCAGAUUUGCAAGAAUAAGGAUGCUAAACCUCACAUGGGAAUAUGUGCAACCUUUGAAAGGGUAAAGCCCAACAGAACCUGAGAUGAUUAUGUUCGAGAUCUCAUAUUUACAGUAACUUGGACACUUUUGGUGGAAGCCAUCAUGUUAGGAUUUACAUUCUAGUGAUCUGUGGAUUACAAACUUAACUUGGACUAACUUUGCCUUUAAUAUUUUACUUUUGGUUUAUUGGAGCAUGUACACGAUAACAUGCUCCCUUAUACGCAUGAUUGGAAGAUUGCUUCAUGCCAAUGUUGAGUGUUAUACUACCCCGGUACUGGUCACAACUUUUUGACAAAAAUCAUUGAUUGUUUGAUGCUACUAUAGUUCUUGUUCGUACAAAGGCAGUGAUAUUCCAGUUUAGAGAGAAAAUAAAAUCCUCCCAAGUAAGCUGUCUUUCGUAGAAUAGUUUCUUUCCCAUAUAUCAUCAAGAUGUCGCUAUUGUAUUUCCUCUGUCGUCAAAUCUCGGCCCUAAGAUCUAGUUCUUCUCCUCCUUGAUUCAAAUGACAGACUUUAUGCGUUUUGUUUGGGUGUCGAUGCUCUGCUUUGUACGUGAUUGUUGAAGUGGAUAUCGCAUUACCA